This 273-nucleotide ribosomal RNA is filed under the name uncultured bacterium. RNAcentral describes it as "partial 16S ribosomal RNA". It matches the Rfam family "Bacterial small subunit ribosomal RNA", at positions 524 to 796 of the family's 1533-position model. The record is from RNAcentral.
UACGAAGGGGGCUAGCGUUGCUCGGAAUCACUGGGCGUAAAGCGCACGUAGGCGGAUUGCUAAGUCAGGGGUGAAAUCCUGGAGCUCAACUCCAGAACUGCCCUUGAUACUGGCGAUCUUGAGUCCGGGAGAGGUGAGUGGAACUGCGAGUGUAGAGGUGAAAUUCGUAGAUAUUCGCAAGAACACCAGUGGCGAAGGCGGCUCACUGGCCCGGUACUGACGCUGAGGUGCGAAAGCGUGGGGAGCAAACAGGAUUAGAAACCCCAGUAGUCC